Molecule: ribosomal RNA, 301 nt
Filed under: uncultured bacterium
Lineage: Bacteria
Description: partial 16S ribosomal RNA
Rfam family: Bacterial small subunit ribosomal RNA
Source: RNAcentral
CAGUAGCCGCGGGAAUACGUAGGUGGCAAGCGUUGUCCGGAAUUAUUGGGCGUAAAGGGCUCGCAGGCGGUUUCUUAAGUCUGAUGUGAAAGCCCCCGGCUCAACCGGGGAGGGUCAUUGGAAACUGGGAAACUUGAGUGCAGAAGAGGAGAGUGGAAUUCCACGUGUAGCGGUGAAAUGCGUAGAGAUGUGGAGGAACACCAGUGGCGAAGGCGGCUCUCUGGUCUGUAACUGACGCUGAGGAGCGAAAGCGUGGGGAGCGAACAGGAUUAGAUACCCGCGUAGUCCCUGUCUCUUAUAC